This 511-nucleotide ribosomal RNA is filed under the name uncultured bacterium. RNAcentral describes it as "bacterial SSU rRNA". It matches the Rfam family "Bacterial small subunit ribosomal RNA", at positions 15 to 518 of the family's 1533-position model. The record is from RNAcentral.
GAUUCUGGCUCAGAUUGAACGCUGGCGGCAGGCCUAACACAUGCAAGUCGAACGGUAACAGGAAGAAGCUUGCUCUUGCUGACGAGUGGCGGACGGGUGAGUAAUGUCUGGGAAACUGCCUGAUGGAGGGGGAUAACUACUGGAAACGGUAGCUAAUACCGCAUAACGUCGCAAGACCAAAGAGGGGGACCUUCGGGCCUCUUGCCAUCGGAUGUGCCCAGAUGGGAUUAGCUAGUAGGUGGGGUAACGGCUCACCUAGGCGACGAUCCCUAGCUGGUCUGAGAGGAUGACCAGCCACACUGGAACUGAGACACGGUCCAGACUCCUACGGGAGGCAGCAGUGGGGAAUAUUGCACAAUGGGCGCAAGCCUGAUGCAGCCAUGCCGCGUGUAUGAAGAAGGCCUUCGGGUUGUAAAGUACUUUCAGCGGGAGGAAGGGAGUAAAGUUAAUACCUUUGCUCAUUGACGUUACCCGCAGAAGAAGCACCGGCUAACUCCGUGCCAGCCGCAGC